AGUGUAUAGGAAGUGUGCGCGUUUGUUAGUUUAUUCGUUUGUCUAAUAAAUUAGUAGUAAAGUGUGCGUAGUCAGGAUUUGUGUGCGAUAGUUAAGAUAAAGCCAACGAUAUAAGCCGUUUGGCUAUUUUCAUUCGCAGCAAUCAGACUCGCACCCAAGCGUGCGAAUUUCCACCCCUCCACGGACGAAAGCAUUCCCAGCAACCGUCAACCCGCUGGAAGCCGGACGAUCCGCCAACAUAUCGUCCGGGCGAGGCCCAGGGGACCUCCACUUGGACAGGGUCUGUAAAUCGGUCCGCUUCAGCCAUCGUCAACGGCCAUCGCGAUCUACCACCGCGUGUCGCCAUCACCGCAUCACCACCGUUUAGAGCGGGCAAGCCAACCGCCAUCGACCAAGCAGGCGCUUGGCGUCAUCGUCGCCGCUCGAGACGGGCACAUUGACCUGCCCGUAGGUCAACGACUGGGCCGGUAAGCCAUCAGAAUCCGGUGAGUCCAUCCAGUGGAAGUUUUCUUUUUGUGGAGUGGGGCGUCCGCUGAGGGCGCCUCGGAGUUGUUUUUUGUCCAGUCAAAAGACUGAAGGAAUGUGCCCAUAAAGCCAUUCACAAAAUUGGUGACACCGUGAAGCGUGCGUGACGAAUUGCCGCCGCUAGAACUUCUUGUCACCAGGAGCGCAGACUAGCCCACCAAUGCGCUGCUAGAAAAGUGACGUCACAUCAAGAACACAAAUAGCACGUGAGCACAAGAGAGUUAGACAGGGAGAGAACAAGCACACAUAGUAGGGACAGAGAAGAGAGGACGAACACAAAACCAAACAUGAAUGAGAAAAUCUAAAAUGUAAGAAUCAAACCAAAUACAUGUAAUCGAAAAGCUAAAUAUGUCUCUCUUAUAAUAAAUGUAGUUCUGUCCCCAAUCCCCUGAUGUUUAGUUGAUUUCAUGUAUUGUACGUCACGUCGCGUUUGUUGUUUUCGAGUCCCGUCCUCCACCAUAUGGGAGUGUGACG
This is a long non-coding RNA of Armigeres subalbatus, 999 nucleotides long. RefSeq lists it as uncharacterized. Lineage: Eukaryota; Metazoa; Arthropoda; Insecta; Diptera; Culicidae. The transcript is spliced from 3 exons. The record is from RefSeq and is a predicted model, not a curated record.